This is an RNA transcript of Homarus americanus (American lobster), 1236 nucleotides long. RefSeq lists it as uncharacterized. Lineage: Eukaryota; Metazoa; Arthropoda; Malacostraca; Decapoda; Nephropidae. The transcript has 6 exons. The record is from RefSeq and is a predicted model, not a curated record.
AGGCCAUAGUGACGUCACCAUGUACACACAGUCGGUCUGUCUGGCUGUGGUAGUUUGUCUUGUGUCUUCAGGUAAUUUGGCUGUUAACGACGACCAUCAUCACGACCAUAUACUGUGUCGUAAGUGUGGAACGGAGUUGACGGAAAACACUCGGGACAACUUCGUCAACGUCACGAGCCCACUGUCCGAGUCCACCUACCAGCUGACUGUCCUCGGACAUUCUCACUUGAUGGUACAGACUCUCAGAAACCCAGCCGAUGUUACAUUCAAUCUGGUCGCGGUGAAAAGAUCCGGCUGCUCUGGGGUUGGUGAGUGGCACAGUGAACACACGUGGUUUCCCAGCUACCAGUGGAAGGUUUGCCUGUGUCCGCGCUGUGAGGCUCACUUAGGCUGGUAAGGACCUCGCAUGUCAACAACUUUUCUUUGGUGAUUUUUGAGCCCAAAGAAAAAGCAAGUGUGAGCCAUUUCAGAGCUUCAUCUGAGGGCUUCUAUGGGCUAAUUCUUGAGAAACUGAUAACAGAGAGAUUUUCAGAUUCACUGCUUGUCGGAGUACCAAAGUUUCAUAAAUAUUAACGUCAUGGCUGGUGACCAUCAGGACAAUGCCUCUCUGGACGACAUGGUUGAACUGGAUACUAACUACCUCACUCAGUUGGAGGAGGAAGCUGCCGACCGCUACACUGAACAUGACAAGGAGUUCAUGGAGCACUGUCGUAAACCAACACCGCUGCCGCCAAUCCUGCCAGCAGAGAGCGGCGACCGCAACAGACACCGUGGAGGUUUCCGAGGCAGAAGUCGAAGCAGUUACCAUAACGACCGGCAGGGAGGCUACGACCAUGACAACAGACAAGGCUCUAGGGACAACAGCAGAGACUAUGGAGGAGGAGAUAGAAGAAGGGAAUAUGGUGGGGGUCACAGGGACUAUGAGGGAGAGAGGAGAAACUACAACAAUGACAGGAGAAAUUUUGAAGGUGACAAGAGGGAAUAUGGUGGCAAUAAGAAGAAUUAUGAUGGUGAAAGGAAAGGUUUUGGUGAUGGUGGGUUUGGUGGUGAGAGGAGAGGUUUUGGUGGUGAUAGGAGAGGUUUUGGUGGUGAUAGGAGAGGUUUUGGUGGUGAUAGGAGAGGUUUUGGUGGUGAUAGGAGAGGUUUUGGUGGUGAUAGGAGAGGUUUUGGUGGUGAUAGGAGAGGUUUUGGUAGUGAUAGGAGAGGUUUUGGGGGUGGCGACAGGCGAGAUUUUGG